Zea mays is the source of this 98-nucleotide non-coding RNA. The record is from Rfam. NCBI's taxonomy places the organism in Eukaryota, Viridiplantae, Streptophyta, Magnoliopsida, Poales, Poaceae.
UGAAAGCUAUGAUGAAUCUUGAAAAUUAUAUUCGCAUGUUAGAUUUCAGAGAUGUGGUGGCAUUAACGAGAAUUGUUUCAUCUAUGCAAUGAGCAUCG